Molecule: ribosomal RNA, 315 nt
Filed under: Chrysotila carterae
Lineage: Eukaryota; Haptophyta; Isochrysidales; Isochrysidaceae
Description: partial Bacterial small subunit ribosomal RNA
Rfam family: Bacterial small subunit ribosomal RNA
Source: RNAcentral
CAAUGGGGGCAACCCUGAUCCAGCCAUGCCGCGUGAGUGAUGACGGCCUUAGGGUUGUAAAGCUCUUUCGCACGCGACGAUAAUGACGGUAGCGUGAGAAGAAGCCCCGGCUAACUUCGUGCCAGCAGCCGCGGUAAUACGAAGGGGGCUAGCGUUGUUCGGAAUCACUGGGCGUAAAGGGUGCGUAGGCGGAUUCUUAAGUCAGGGGUGAAAUCCCGAGGCUCAACCUCGGAACUGCCUUUGAUACUGGGGAUCUUGAGUCCGGAAGAGGUGAGUGGAACUGCGAGUGUAGAGGUGAAAUUCGUAGAUAUUCGG